UUUUAUGGUAAUCUUAUCGAGCUCCCUCGUCCAUUAGUCAUGACUUGUACAAAAGCCUCUAAUCUAUAGAGUUACCAAUUGAGUAAACAUUUUAUUAUAGUACUUUCAAAUGAAAGUACAACCUAAUUAAAUUUUUGGGCUUUGAUAUUGUACCUUCAAAUCGUAUGUAACAAUAAAUGGAAAUCAUUUUGGUUUAUACGAUUUAGCACCUGUUUGAUGAAAAUUUUUUGAGAUUAAACUUUGCGAAAAGUGUUUUUUUUUUUUUUUUAUAUCCAAGUAUCCCAGCUUACACUAGACUAAAUUCUAAACUCCAAGAUCCUUGCCCCUAGAACCUUGGAACAGGUAAAUCGCGAGUUAUGCCUCAACUGGAUCACAGGUUCCCCCCACCCCUUGUACGCUUCUGCGCACAAGAGAUCAUCCUCCAAAAUGAUUGCUCCAUACCAAAUAAAUCUGGCAGCAAGUUCCCACCAGGAUUCGAACUUCCACCAUGUCGUUGGAAGCAAGAUAAUGUUGAUUGAUCCACCAGUUGAGCUCUGCCUCGGGAGGCAUUUUUUUUUUUUUUUAGUUUUUAGAAUGCUUGGUCAAAAGGUAGGAAAAAUUAAGAGUUCACUUGC
RNAcentral lists this long non-coding RNA (614 nucleotides) under Olea europaea (common olive). Its description in RNAcentral is "long non-coding RNA (OEUR_LNC004338)". The record is from RNAcentral. Lineage: Eukaryota; Viridiplantae; Streptophyta; Magnoliopsida; Lamiales; Oleaceae.